RNAcentral lists this ribosomal RNA (254 nucleotides) under uncultured bacterium. RNAcentral describes it as "partial 16S ribosomal RNA". It matches the Rfam family "Bacterial small subunit ribosomal RNA", at positions 524 to 776 of the family's 1533-position model. The record is from RNAcentral.
UACGAGGGGUGCAAGCGUUGCUCGGAAUUAUUGGGCGUAAAGGGUAGGUAGGUGGUCUCAUUUGUCUGGGGUGAAAGCCUUGAGCUUAACUCAAGAAGUGCCCUAGAAACGGUGAGACUGGAGUCCUGGAGAGGGUCGUGGAAUUCCCGGUGUAGCGGUGAAAUGCGUAGAUAUCUGGAGGAACACCGGUGGCGAAGGCGGCAUCCUGGACCAACACUGACGCUGAGUGAGCGAAAGCCAGGGGAGCAAACGGG